UACGAAGGGGGCUAGCGUUGUUCGGAUUUACUGGGCGUAAAGCGCACGUAGGCGGAUCGUUAAGUCGGGGGUGAAAUCCUGGAGCUCAACUCCAGAACUGCCUUCGAUACUGGCGAUCUAGAGUCCGGAAGAGGUGAGUGGAACUCCUAGUGUAGAGGUGGAAUUCGUAGAUAUUAGGAAGGACACCAGUGGCGAAGGCGGCUUACUGGUCCGGUACUGACGCUGAGGUGCGAAAGCGUGGGGAGCAAACAGG
This 253-nucleotide ribosomal RNA is filed under the name uncultured bacterium. RNAcentral describes it as "partial 16S ribosomal RNA". It matches the Rfam family "Bacterial small subunit ribosomal RNA", at positions 524 to 776 of the family's 1533-position model. The record is from RNAcentral.